GAGCAGGCAACAGCACCUUUGCGUGCUAUUAUCUCAGAGAUCAUUCUCGCGCUUAGUUUGCGCCAGCUGCUCUCCCUAGCUAACGCUAGAGACAUCGCACGCGAUGGAUUGUCUUGUGAAGUUGUGAAGCUUUAUGAUCCAAGCCCCAUCCGCAUCCGCAUCCGCAUCCGCAUCGUCUUGCAGUUGAUCAAUGGCACUCUGAAAGCGUUUGGUUGCGUGAUUGUCCUGGGCAUCUUCCAUCUCUUAGACCACAGAGAGACCUUGCUCGUAAACUCUAGCCACUACGUACACAUAAACAUGAAGGUUAUACCUUCUAUGUUUAUGUUGGUAGAGGACACUAUUAGGGUGGUAACGAUCAGCAUCGAAGACAACUAUAAUGACAAUGUGAAAGGGAGCUGCAACCAAAAAAUAGUUGCACUCCUUAUCAGAUUCAGGGUGCGGGAGGUAAGUCCGACUUGGUCGUUUGACUGAGCCAAAUAAGAUCAACCUAAUAUUCUCUGUCUUGAUCUCAUACUUACUCAUUUAUACUUAAAACUUAAUUUCUUGGUCGCUUAAUUUCAUAACUUACACUACGUAUAAAAAUCAAAAAAAUUCGAUCGAGGGUGAAAACCGUAAUUCAUUAUUCUCUCCUCCUCGCGUAGCGCUCUCUCUCUCUCUCUUCCGCCUUCUUCCCCCCAUCUCUAGUAAGCGAGCGAGUAUGGUGGAGUACUGGCCCUGUCCAUGAGGCCCCUCGCCACUGUUACCAUCGAGCGGUCACUCGGUGGUGCCCUAAGGCCCAUGUGCAUCAUCGUGCACAAGACCGUUGGUCGUGCUACGCUCUUCCAUGGCUUGUCGACGGCUAGAUAAAGACACUCCUCCUUUCCCUUAUUUAUGUGCUCGGGUUUCAGAGUUAGGGUUAGAGUUUUGGGGAUUCAGAGAAAUACAGUUAAUGUUAGGCAAUAGAAUAUGUCAUCUGUGGAUAUCCUAGCUGCUAUAGAUAGCAGAUGUAAAUCAGGGAUAGAAUCCUAGCUGCUAUAGAUAGCAGAUGUAAAUCAGGGAUUAGUUGCUAGAUAUAGCAGAUGUAAAUCAGGGAUAAAUCAGGGGAAUUAUCCCUGCCUUGUAAAGCAGGCCAGCCAGCUCUAUAUAAUAGAAGGUGCCCCCUCUCAUUGAGGUGUGGCCAAUUGCCCUCAA
Molecule: long non-coding RNA, 1170 nt
Organism: Zea mays
Lineage: Eukaryota; Viridiplantae; Streptophyta; Magnoliopsida; Poales; Poaceae
Exons: 2
Source: RefSeq, a predicted model, not a curated record